GUUCGUACUAUGGAUGGGAGUUAGGAAGCGAGUUGGUUAUCUGCAGAAAGCGGGUCUGCCGACAAUGUUUGGGACAAAUUUGUUGGUCUUUGGAAUGGUUUAUUGGUUUGGAUAUCGGGAUGAGGAUUUCAGAAUCAUUUUCUGGAUGCGUUAACUCUGUUGGAUCUCAUUAAACCCAACACAGAAAGUCCUUACAAUGCAGAAAAUGGGUUUAUGCCGAGAAUGUAGAUUGAGGUUGAUGGUUUUAAAUACGGUUAUGAGACGUUUGACCUUGUCUUAUGAGAUGGGGCUGGGGAACAAGGUACAUAAAGUGGGACAGU
This 320-nucleotide long non-coding RNA is filed under the name Brassica napus (rape). RNAcentral describes it as "long non-coding RNA (BNAP_LNC017052)". Lineage: Eukaryota; Viridiplantae; Streptophyta; Magnoliopsida; Brassicales; Brassicaceae. The record is from RNAcentral.